Molecule: ribosomal RNA, 549 nt
Filed under: Neochelon falcipinnis (sicklefin mullet)
Lineage: Eukaryota; Metazoa; Chordata; Actinopteri; Mugiliformes; Mugilidae
Description: partial 16S ribosomal RNA
Rfam family: Bacterial large subunit ribosomal RNA
Source: RNAcentral
GGUCCCGCCUGCCCUGUGACCCCUGGUUUAACGGCCGCGGUAUUUUGACCGCGCGAAGGUAGCGCAAUCACUUGUCCUUUAAAUGGGGACCUGUAUGAAUGGCAUAACGAGGGCUUAACUGUCUCCUUUCCCCGGUCAAUGAAAUUGAUCUUCCCGUGCAGAAGCGGGAAUCCUAACAUAAGACGAGAAGACCCUAUGGAGCUUUAGACCUUAGAGCAGAUCAUGUUUUGUUACCCCAUUAAGCAAGUAAUAACUAUUGAACCCCUGUUCUACUGUCUUUGGUUGGGGCGACCACGGGGAAGAAAAAAACCCCCACGUGGACUGGGAGCACACUACUCCUUCAACUACGAGCCACAGCUCUAAUGCGCAGAAUCUCUGACCAUAAGAUCCGGCAAAGCCGAUCAACGGACCGAGUUACCCUAGGGAUAACAGCGCAAUCCCCUUUAAGAGUCCAUAUCGACAAGGGGGUUUACGACCUCGAUGUUGGAUCAAGACAUCCUAAUGGUGCAGCCGCUAUUAAGGGUUCGUUUGUUCAACGAUUAAAGUCUU